This 305-nucleotide ribosomal RNA is filed under the name uncultured bacterium. RNAcentral's name for it is "bacterial SSU rRNA". It matches the Rfam family "Bacterial small subunit ribosomal RNA", at positions 337 to 659 of the family's 1533-position model. The record is from RNAcentral.
ACCUACGGGAGGCAGCAGUGGGGGAUAUUGCACAAUGGAGGAAACUCUGAUGCAGCGACGCCGCGUGAGGGAAGACGGUCUUCGGAUUGUAAACCUCUGUCUUUGGGGAAGAGAAUGACGGUACCCAAAGAGGAAGCUCCGGCUAACUACGUGCCAGCAGCCGCGGUAACACGUAGGUGGCAAGCGUUAUCCGGAUUUAUUGGGUGUAAAGGGCGUGUAGGCGGGAAAGCAAGUCAGAUGUGAAAACUCAGGGCUCAACCCUGAGCCUGCAUUUGAAACUGUUUUUCUUGAGUGCUGGAGAGGCA